This 246-nucleotide ribosomal RNA is filed under the name uncultured bacterium. RNAcentral describes it as "partial small subunit ribosomal RNA". It matches the Rfam family "Bacterial small subunit ribosomal RNA", at positions 26 to 285 of the family's 1533-position model. The record is from RNAcentral.
AGAAUCAACGCUGGCGGCGUGCCUAACACAUGCAAGUCGAACGAGAAAGUGGAGCAAUCCACGAGUAAAGUGGCGCACGGGUGAGUAACACGUGACUAACCUACCCUUGAGUGGGGGAUAACCUAGGGAAACCUGGGCUAAUACCGCAUGAUACCUACGGGUCAAAGGAGCAAUUCGCUUAAGCGAGGGGGUCGCGGCCGAUUAGUUAGUUGGCGGGGUAAUGGCCCACCAAGACGAUGAUCGGUA